Small nuclear RNA from Monodelphis domestica (gray short-tailed opossum), 106 nucleotides. The record is from Ensembl. NCBI's taxonomy places the organism in Eukaryota, Metazoa, Chordata, Mammalia, Didelphimorphia, Didelphidae.
GUGUUUGCUUUGGCAGCACAUGUACUAAAAUUAGAAUGAUACAGAGAAGACUACAUGGCCCCAGAGCAAGGAUGACAUGCAAAUUCAUGAAGUAUUCCAUAUUUUU